AGGACGAACGCUGGCGGCGUGCUUAACACAUGCAAGUCGAGCGAGGCUCCACCUUCGGGUGGAUGCCCUAGCGGCGAACGGGUGAGUAACACGUGGGCAACCUGCCCCUAGCACUGGGAUAACUCCGGGAAGCCGGGGCUAAUACCGGAUAUGACCUUUGAGGGCAUCCUCUUUGGUGUAAAGGAUUCUGGCUAGGGAUGGGCCCGCGGCCUAUCAGCUAGUUGGUGGGGUAAUGGCCUACCAAGGCGACGACGGGUAGCCGGCCUGAGAGGGCGACCGGCCACACUGGGACUGAGACACGGCCCAGACUCCUACGGGAGGCAGCAGUGGGGAAUCUUGCGCAAUGGGCGAAAGCCUGACGCAGCGACGCCGCGUGGGGGAUGAAGGCCUUCGGGUUGUAACCCCUUCAGCAGGGACGAAGCGAAGUGACGGUACUGCAGAAGAAGCGCCGGCUAACUACGCGCCAGCAGCCGC
Molecule: ribosomal RNA, 474 nt
Filed under: uncultured bacterium
Lineage: Bacteria
Description: SSU rRNA
Rfam family: Bacterial small subunit ribosomal RNA
Source: RNAcentral